This 1739-nucleotide long non-coding RNA is filed under the name Salmo salar (Atlantic salmon). Its description in RNAcentral is "lncRNA (ENSSSAG00000099180.1)". The record is from RNAcentral. Lineage: Eukaryota; Metazoa; Chordata; Actinopteri; Salmoniformes; Salmonidae.
CGCUUACCGUUUCUUUCAAUUGCUAACAUGCAUUGGUCAAAACUGAAGUCACAUUGUCAAAACUCUUCACACAGUCAGCGAAACAGAAGUGUAUGUGGACCAAACUGUGAAUCAUUUUUCAUUGCUUUCACACAAAAUGCAUCCAAUGACCACAUUCUCCGAAAUCCAUGAACACUUUCCACAUUCAUACUCCACCACCUGCAAAACUGUAUAUUUGCAGCACAUGUUUUCAAAUGCUAACACACGGUUUCCAAAACUGUUAAAAACACAUUCAAAACAGAAUGAUUGCAAAUGUCAUGCAUUUCUGCAGUAACCAGAUUGAAACAUAUAGAAAAUCUCAGCAGAAUAUUUAAUCAUUCCAAACACAGCUGAUUGUAAUUUCAGCUGAAAGCCGACCCAAGUGUCCUGUUUUUAGUCUCGUUACCAAACAGACAAAAGAGGACGGCUUCGGAAUGGUUUAGUUUGGAAACCUGGAUCAAGGAAGACAGGUUGGUGGGGAAAGAAGAGUGGCAGGGAGAGGGAGAAUGCGUGGCAGACAAAGGAGAGGAAGACCAAGAGCGGUGGUCUCUGAGUAGGAUCCGAAGGUUGCCUCCCACAGGAGGGAGAGGCAGAAUAUUAUCAAUGUGCAGGAAAUUGCCAUUGUUGACAUGGUAAUUGGCAACAAUGCAAUAAAACUGUGGGAAACUCAGGGCAGCGUGGUGGCAGACAAUAUCACUUUUGGGAAUGUGAGUCCUAGAGAAACAUAAAAUAAGGAUGAAGCAGUUGUACGCUGUACCAUUUGAGAGGAACGUGUGAAAGAACUCCGGUAUCGAUAUGUCCAGAGUAAUGGAGAUGGAAGCCAGGCAAACGGCACAUACAUUCCUCUUUGUGGAUGAAGCUGGAUUCAACCUGGCAAAAACAUGCCGCAGGGGAAAAAAUGUGAUUGGACAGAGAGCAACCGUGGAUGUCCCAGGCCAGAGGAGUUAACAUCACCAUGUGUGCAGCACUGUCCAAUGAUGGUUUCGCUGUUACCAGGGGCGAAAAUCUGAUAUCAACUUUGGAGGGGACAAUUACGUUACAUUUUCUCAAGAGCAAUUCCUGAGGGGGACACCAAAAGUAGUGCUGUAACACAUAGCCUACGUUUAAUAUGGUAAAUGUAUAUUGAGGAACCAAAGAAAUAAGGUGUUUGCCGUGCUCCUAACUACCGGUACCCAAAACUACACAACUAAUCACAACAGCAAUACCAUUGCCUUUAACAAAUCUUAGUUCAGUCACCAGUUUAAGUUGAGAGUGGGGGUAUCCAUGGCAUUUUCCAAUUAUGUUCCUAUUUUACAAGUAAAAAAAAUUGAGAACCUUUCAUAAUGUUGCCAAACAAAGACUCAACAAACUUACCUGAGACUCCCUGUCUCUGCCAGUCUGUCCCUGCAUAUCUGUCCCCAACUCAGCUGUCUGUGUGCCAUCUGUUGCCUGCUCUGCCUAAUGACAUCAUUGUGAAACAUUUCCAUUAGAAUUUAAUUUCUUUCUUAUGAACAUUUUAUCAACUAGUCUUUGAGAUAUUAGGCUACUAGGGUUCUUACUUUGCAUAUUGGUGUACUGAAAAAUACUCUGAUGUCUGUCUUUUUUAUUUUUCUGCCAUUUUUCUGCCAUUUUUCUACCUGGCUGGCUGGCUACACACACACAGUAUGUGGGUUAUUUACAGUAGGAGAUGGGCUUCUAUCAUCUUAUCUUCUAUCGUUCUAUAUGGGCUUCGAUCUAAAAGG